ACUAGGAGGGGAGGGAAGAGAAAUUUGCCAGUAUUUUUAGAACACUCCAUACAAGGCGCUGCUUUUUGUAUCAGCAGGAUGGUGCCCGAUACCCGGGCUGCACUCAGCAUCGGAGCGAGCGAAUGAAAACCUCCGCUCUCCCCGAGCAUGGAGAUCUCUAUGGAGGAAAUGCCCUGUACUCCCUGCCCGGGACGGACACAUCGUAGAGAAAGCGGCUCAGAAUUAACCGACGGACCGACUUAGAACACGAUCAAGCACACAGUGAAGCUGUGGUUUUGUCUCACGCAGAACAUCAGUCUCCCCCCGAGGCGACGGACACGGUGUGAUGCUUCCCAACUCCGCGACCCCGCACGACGUUAACCCUCAACCUCGGCUUCUGCACCCCCAGCACGAGGGUCACAACCGAACCCUGGCCUCACGAGGCUGUGAGGGUCACACGGGGGAAGUACUGGGCACAGGCCCUGGCCUAGAACGGCCCUCACUAUAUUUGGGGUGUCGCCAUCGUCACGCAAAAGAUAUCCCCUCAGUUCCUUUGAUAACUAUCUGGUCUGGUAGGUCCCGGAAAGCCGUGUGUCUGCUGUGACCCUGGGGAUCCCUCCAGAGAGAGUUCAGCUCCCCUCAACUCCUCCGUCUGACGUACGGUCAGACACAGUGCUCGUCCUUACGGUCACCAGACGGUGGCGGGGGGCAGGAGCUGGUUAAGGCCAGAUGGCCAGCUGCCUGCCACAACCCCAGCGGAUGUCUCACUGCAGCUGGAAAAGGUGGGUCCCCAAGUGGCUUUCCAGAGCUAAGGGUGGGGGAGGCCGCAUCACAGGACGGCGCGUCCCAACGGAGGCAGGACUCUCCCCGUCCCUGUGACAUAGCUGUAGUUAGGAUCCUGAGAUAAAUCGAGGUCUGCUCUAACCUGCAUUUAGGGAACGAAGAUCAUGUUAACAUUAAACAUCUUUACGUGGU
Long non-coding RNA from Felis catus (domestic cat), 954 nucleotides. RefSeq lists it as uncharacterized. The transcript is spliced from 2 exons. Lineage: Eukaryota; Metazoa; Chordata; Mammalia; Carnivora; Felidae. The record is from RefSeq and is a predicted model, not a curated record.